GAUGUAUUAUUAAGUUAUUAUUAAGUUAAAAUAAGUGUUCAUUCAGUAUUGUUGUAAUUGUCAUUAUUACAAAUAAAAUAAAAUAAAGCUUUUUUGGUCUUCAAAUAAUCGGUAUCGGUAUCGGCGUUGAAAAAUCAUAAUCGGUCGACCUCUAAUUUCAAGUGAACUUUCAAUAACAAGUUUACAAUCUGGACCUCUUUUAGGGCAGCGAUCCGCCUACACCCGUUGAUAUUUCACAGGUCUAGGACAGCUCUGGGCUUGACCUCUCUUCCUGACCUUGUGCGAUAUGAUGCAGAGCAUGCUUCUGUGUCAGUCAACAGUUCUUGUGGUGUUGCAGGUAAGUAUGUUGUAUGUUGUGCUGUGUGUGUGUUUAGUCCAUCACAUUAUCUUUCAGGGGAACAGUUAAUUUCAUCAGUAUGUUGUUAUUUUGUGUUCAGUAGGUGACAACGAUUGCGGCGGUAGACCGCUCCUUCUGCGGUGCGGAUGUGAUAUGAACGUUCAGUGUCAGCUGGCUGGAUGACGACUGCUGGCUUCCAGAGGCCAUGCUCCUGGAUUCUAACUGACUCUCCGUCGAUCAGUGGUGGCAGUGGUCUAGCUGACCUGUCGUAGUAUCGCUUUCGCUGCUGGUUGGUGCUGGGAAGGACUGAGCGAAGUCUGCGGCUCAUCAACAGCUGGGCUGGUGAUUUUAAGUUGUCAACUGGAGUGUUGCAGUAUUCAAGGAGACUGAGGGCCAAGCCUCAGGACUACCUGGCCUGGUGAUUCCUUGCUGUCCCCAGUCCAUCUGGUUGUGCUGCUGUUCCAGUCUCAACUAUUCUGCCUGCGGCUAUGGAACCCUGACCUGUUCACCGGACGUGCUACCUGUCCCAGACUGGCUGUUUUCAACACUCUAGAGACACUCUGAAUGAUCGGCUAUGAAAAGCCAACUGACAUUCACUCCUGAGGUGCUGACCUGUUGCACCCUCGACAACCACUGUGAUUAUUAUUCUUUGACCCUGCUGGUCAUCUAUGAACAUUUGAACAUCUUGGCCAUGUUCUGUUAUAAUCUCUACCCGGCACAGCCAGAAGAGGACUGGCAACCCCUCAAAGCCUGGUUCCUCUCUAGGUUUCUUCCUAAGUUUUGGCCUUUCUAGGGAGUUUUUCCUAGCCACCGUGCUUCUACACCUGCAUUGCUUGCUGUUUGGGGUUUUAGACUGUGUUUCUGUACAGCACUUUGAGAUAUCAGCUGAUGUAAGAAGGGCUUUUUAAAACAUUUUUGAUUGAUACAACCACCUAAAAGGAAGCGAUUCCCAAACCUUCCAUAACAAAGCCAUCACCUACAGAGAGAUGAACCUGGAGAAGAGUCCCCUAAGCAAGCUGGUCCUGGGACUCUAGCCCCAGGACAGCAACACAGUUAGACCCAACCAAAUCAUGAGAAAACAAAUUAUUACUUGACACAUUGGAAAGAAUUAACAAAAAAACAGAGCUAACUAGAAUGCUAUUUGGCCCUAAACAGAGACUACACAGUGGCAGAAUACCUGACCACUGGGACUGACCCAAACUUAAGGAAAGCUUUGACUAUGUACAGACUCAGUGAGCAUAGCCUUGCUAUUGAGAAAGGCUGUCGUAGGCAGACCUGUCUCUCAAGAGAAGACAGGCUAUGUGCUCACUGCCCACAAAAGGAGGUGGAAACUGAUCUGCACUUCCUAACCUCCUGCAAGAUUACACAGAUCCACAAAAUUCAAAAACAAACUCAAUUUUGAUAAACUCCCAUAUCUACUGGGUGAAAUACCACAGUGUGCCAUCACAGCAGCAAGAUUUGUGACCUGUUACCACAAGAAAAGGGCAACCAGUGAAGAACAAACACCAUUGUAAAUACAACCCAUAUUUAUGUUUAUUUAUUUUACCUUUUGCACAUCAUUACAACACUGUAUAUAGACAUAAUAUGACAUUUGAAAUACCUUUAUUCUUUUGGAACUUCUGUGAGUGUAAUGUUUACUGUAAAUUUGUGUUGGUUAUUUCACUUUUGUUUAUUAUCUACUUCACGUGCUUUGGCAAUGUUAACAUAUGUUUCCCAUGCCAAUAAAGCCCUUGAAUUUAAUUGAAUUGAGAAAGGGAUACAGAGAGAGAGAGGGG
Long non-coding RNA from Oncorhynchus tshawytscha (Chinook salmon), 2112 nucleotides. NCBI's taxonomy places the organism in Eukaryota, Metazoa, Chordata, Actinopteri, Salmoniformes, Salmonidae. The record is from Ensembl.